This 253-nucleotide ribosomal RNA is filed under the name uncultured bacterium. Its description in RNAcentral is "partial 16S ribosomal RNA". It matches the Rfam family "Bacterial small subunit ribosomal RNA", at positions 524 to 776 of the family's 1533-position model. The record is from RNAcentral.
UACGUAGGGGGCAAGCGUUGUCCGGAUUUAUUGGGCGUAAAGAGCGUGUAGGCGGCCUGAAAGGUCAGCUGUGAAAACUCGAGGCUCAACCUCGAGACGUCGGUUGAAACCAUCUGGCUAGAGUGCGGGAGAGGCGAGUGGAAUUCCUGGUGUAGCGGUGAAAUGCGUAGAGAUGUGGAGGAACACCAGUGGCGAAGGCGGCUCACUGGGGCUUUUCUGACGCUGAGGAACGAAAGCCAGGGUAGCGAACGGG